AUACUUACCUGGUAGGGGAGAUACCAUGAUCAAGAAGGUGGUUCACCCAGGGCGAGGCUCAGCUAUUGCACUCCGGCUGUGCUGACCCCUGCGAAUUCCCCAAAUGUGGGAAUCUCGACUGCAUAAUUUCUGGUAGUGGGGGACUGCGUUCGCGCUCUCCCCUG
This 164-nucleotide small nuclear RNA is filed under the name Scleropages formosus (Asian bonytongue). RNAcentral describes it as "U1 spliceosomal RNA (ENSSFOG00015028551.1)". It matches the Rfam family "U1 spliceosomal RNA". From Rfam's summary of the family: U1 is a small nuclear RNA (snRNA) component of the spliceosome (involved in pre-mRNA splicing). Lineage: Eukaryota; Metazoa; Chordata; Actinopteri; Osteoglossiformes; Osteoglossidae. The record is from RNAcentral.